Molecule: long non-coding RNA, 489 nt
Organism: Amphimedon queenslandica
Lineage: Eukaryota; Metazoa; Porifera; Demospongiae; Haplosclerida; Niphatidae
Exons: 4
Source: RefSeq, a predicted model, not a curated record
UUGAAACUAUCUUGACCACACUCGUAAUUCAUGAAAAUGAAGGAAAAUGCUGUUUUAUUAACGUAAAAAGGGGUGUGGCCAAAAAUUGUGGCGCACUUUGCGUGCCCCUCUAAUUCCCAGCCCAUGCAACAUUUCAAGUCUGCAACCGCCUAUGACUGUAGGGUGACUAGGGUCGUCUGAAUAUUAAAAUAUGUAGUGUCCUACAGUAUGUUUGUCAUAAAGAAUCAUUGACUAUACCAGAUACACUAGCCAAGAGGAUUGCAGAGAAGUCAGAAAGAAACCUUCGUAAAGCUAUACUGCUUUGUGAGGCGUGCCGUGUUCAGCAGUAUCCCUUCAAUGAUGAUCAGGUUGUCCCUGAUUGUGAGUGGGAGGUUUUCUUACGUUAAAUAGCUACAAUGAUCAUCACAGAGCAGAGUCCUAAGAGGUUACUUGAAGUAAGAGGACGUUAUUAUGAGCUGUUAACUCAUUGUAUACCACCUGAUAUUAUUU